RNAcentral lists this ribosomal RNA (468 nucleotides) under uncultured bacterium. RNAcentral describes it as "partial 16S ribosomal RNA". It matches the Rfam family "Bacterial small subunit ribosomal RNA", at positions 28 to 507 of the family's 1533-position model. The record is from RNAcentral.
GACGAACGCUGGCGGCGUGCUUAACACAUGCAAGUCGAACGGAAAGGCCCUGCUUUUGUGGGGUUCUCGAUUGGCGAACGCGUGAGUAACACGUGAGUAUCCUCCCCUUGACUUUGGGGUAACUUCACGGAACUCGGGCGAAUACCCGGGAUAAGCUCUUGCUGCAUGUGGGUGGUUGGUAAAUGCCGGCGGUUGGGGAUGGACUCGCUGCUUAUCAGCUGGUUGGUGGGGUAGGUGCGUACCAGGCGUUUGACGGGUAGCCGGCCUAGGAGCGUUGACGGCGACAUUGCUACUGAGAUAGGGACCAGACUCCUAUGGGAGGCAGCAGUGGGGAAUAUGGCACAAUGGGGGGACGCGUGAUGCAACAACGCCGCGUGCGGGAUGCCGGGCUUCGGGUUGUAAACCGCUUUGGCAUGUGCCAAAGAGGGCGUGACGGUACUGGGUCAAAAAGCCACGGCUAACUACGUG